This 404-nucleotide ribosomal RNA is filed under the name uncultured bacterium. RNAcentral's name for it is "bacterial SSU rRNA". It matches the Rfam family "Bacterial small subunit ribosomal RNA", at positions 355 to 776 of the family's 1533-position model. The record is from RNAcentral.
UGGGGAAUAUUGGACAAUGGGCGCAAGCCUGAUCCAGCCAUGCCGCGUGAGUGAUGAAGGCCUUAGGGUUGUAAAGCUCUUUCGUCGGGGAAGAUAAUGACGGUACCCGAAGAAGAAGCCUCGGCUAACUCCGUGCCAGCAGCCGCGGUAAGACGGAGGAGGCUAGCGUUGUUCGGAAUUACUGGGCGUAAAGCGUACGCAGGCGGUUGAUCAAGUCAGGUGUGAAAGCCCGGGGCUCAACCUCGGAAUUGCGCCUGAGACUGGUCGGCUAGAGUUCGGAAGAGGAGAGUGGAAUUCCCAGUGUAGAGGUGAAAUUCGUAGAUAUUGGGAAGAACACCAGUGGCGAAGGCGACUCUCUGGUCCGAUACUGACGCUCAAGUACGAAAGCGUGGGGAGCAAACAGG